GGUGAGGUAAAGGCUUACCUAGGCGACGAUGUGUAGCCGGUCUGAGAGGAUGAACGGCCACAAUGGAACUGAGACACGGUCCAUACUCCUACGGGAGGCAGCAGUGGGGAAUAUUGCACAAUGGGGGAAACCCUGAUGCAGCAACGCCGCGUGAGUGAAGAAGGUUUUCGGAUUGUAAAGCUCUGUUAGCAGGGAAGAGGAAGGACGGUACCUGCAGAGGAAGCCACGGCUAACUACGUGCCAGCAGCCGCGGUAAUACGUAGGUGGCAAGCGUUGUUCGGAAUAACUGGGCGUAAAGGAUGCGUACGCGGUUAAACAAGUUAUAUGUUAAAUAUAUAGGCUUAACCUGUAGAAAGCAUAUAAAACUGUUUAACUAGAGUGCAGGAGAGGUAAGUGGAAUUCCUAGUGUAGCGGUGAAAUGCGUAGAGAUUAAGAAGAACACCAGUGGCGAAGGCGACUUACUGGACUGUAACUGACGCUGAGGCAUGAUAGCAUGGGGAGCAA
This 504-nucleotide ribosomal RNA is filed under the name uncultured bacterium. RNAcentral's name for it is "bacterial SSU rRNA". It matches the Rfam family "Bacterial small subunit ribosomal RNA", at positions 251 to 771 of the family's 1533-position model. The record is from RNAcentral.